This 245-nucleotide unclassified non-coding RNA is filed under the name Chalara sp. RNAcentral's name for it is "partial internal transcribed spacer region". The stretch from base 1 to 46 matches the Rfam family "Eukaryotic small subunit ribosomal RNA", at positions 1786 to 1831 of the family's 1831-position model. The record is from RNAcentral. Lineage: Eukaryota; Fungi; Ascomycota; Leotiomycetes; Helotiales.
AAGUCGUAACAAGGUUUCCGUAGGUGAACCUGCGGAAGGAUCAUUACCGAAGUCAAGGCCCCUUCGGGGGCUAAACUUCCACCCUUUGUUUACCUUACCAUUGUUGCUUUGGCGGGCCGCCUCAGGCCACCGGCUCUCGAGCUGGUGCGUGCCCGCCAGAGACCCCCAAACCCAAACCAUAUUUAGUGUCGUCUGAAAACAAGUUUAAAUUAUUAAAACUUUCAACAACGGAUCUCUUGGCUCUG